UGCUGUGAGCUCGAUGAGUAGGGCGGGACACGUGGUAUCCUGUCUGAAUAUGGGGGGACCAUCCUCCAAGGCUAAAUACUCCUGACUGACCGAUAGUGAACCAGUACCGUGAGGGAAAGGCGAAAAGAACCCCGGCGAGGGGAGUGAAAAAGAACCUGAAACCGUGUACGUACAAGCAGUGGGAGCACAGGUUUACCUGUGUGACUGCGUACCUUUUGUAUAAUGGGUCAGCGACUUAUAUUCUGUAGCAAGGUUAACCGUAUAGGGGAGCCGGAGGGAAACCGAGUCUUAAUUGGGCGUUAAGUUGCAGGGUAUAGACCCGAAACCCGGUGAUCUAGCCAUGGGCAGGUUGAAGGUUGGGUAACACUAACUGGAGGACCGAACCGACUAAUGUUGAAAAAUUAGCGGAUGACCUGUGGCUGGGGGUGAAAGGCCAAUCAAACCGGGAGAUAGCUGGUUCUCCCCGAAAGCUAUUUAGGUAGCGCCUCGUGAAUUCAUCUCCGGGGGUAGAGCACUGUUUCGGCUAGGGGGCCAUCCCGGCUUACCAACCCGAUGCAAACUGCGAAUACCGGAGAAUGUUAUCACGGGAGACACACGGCGGGUGCUAACGUCCGUCGUGAAGAGGGAAACAACCCAGACCGCCAGCUAAGGUCCCAAAGUCAUGGUUAAGUGGGAAACGAUGUGGGAAGGCCCAGACAGCCAGGAUGUUGGCUUAGAAGCAGCCAUCAUUUAAAGAAAGCGUAAUAGCUCACUGGUCGAGUCGGCCUGCGCGGAAGAUGUAACGGGGCUAAACCAUG
Molecule: ribosomal RNA, 797 nt
Filed under: Salmonella enterica
Lineage: Bacteria; Pseudomonadati; Pseudomonadota; Gammaproteobacteria; Enterobacterales; Enterobacteriaceae
Description: partial 23S ribosomal RNA
Rfam family: Bacterial large subunit ribosomal RNA
Source: RNAcentral